GAUGAAGAACGCAGCGAAAUGCGAUAAGUAAUGUGAAUUGCAGAAUUCAGUGAAUCAUCGAAUCUUUGAACGCACCUUGCGCCCUUUGGCUAUUCUGAAGGGCAUGCCUGUUUGAGUAUCAUGAACACCUCAACUCUCAUGGUUUGCCAUGAUGAGCUUGGACUUUGGGGGUCUUGCUGGCCUACGGUCGGCUCCUCUCAAAUGAAUCAGCUUGCCAGUGUUUGGUGGCAUCACGGGUUUGAUAACUAUCUACGCUUGUGGUUUCCCGCCAGGUAACCUUCAGUGAUGGAGGUUCGCUGGGGCUCAUAAAUGUCCCUCCACAGUGAGGACAGCUUUUGAACGUUUGAUCUCAAAUCAGGUAGGACUACCCGCUGAACUUAAGCAUAUCAAUAAGCGGAGGA
Molecule: unclassified non-coding RNA, 401 nt
Filed under: soil metagenome
Description: partial contains 5.8S ribosomal RNA, internal transcribed spacer 2, and large subunit ribosomal RNA
Rfam family: 5.8S ribosomal RNA (bases 1-121)
Source: RNAcentral